RNAcentral lists this non-coding RNA (25 nucleotides) under Cricetulus griseus (Chinese hamster). Lineage: Eukaryota; Metazoa; Chordata; Mammalia; Rodentia; Cricetidae. The record is from RNAcentral.
GUGCUGUAAAUAUUCUGCCAUAGGA